GGAAGAGCUACCAAGCCAGGGUGCACAGAUCAGCCACAACCCUCUGUCUAUCUAUUCCAUGCGCCGAACAAAUGCAACAGCCCAAAGGAUUUCUCGGUGAGAUGCCGACACUUACCUCUCAGGACACUGCCCCAGUCCCUGCCUCGAUGGAAUAUUGCACACAGCACCAACAGAUUGCCAUUGCAGGCAUUGGAUGACCCCAGACAGCAAAGCAGACUUUCCCACACUGUAAUACUACAGUAUCUGGGACGGCUCCUGUAUCACUACUUGUUCACAACAUGCAUACUCAAAUAUGUGUUCCAGACAGUUAAACAACCACUCUGAGCAAGUACUGAAUUGAUCCUUCCUAUUAUUAUUAUCCCUUUACACUCUCACCAGUUAUGCUCUCCUUAACACAGGUUAAUAUAAUCCUAUAGCACACAGUGCUCAUGAUCAAUC
Non-coding RNA from Pelobates cultripes (western spadefoot toad), 438 nucleotides. The record is from the annotation of a GenBank genome assembly. Lineage: Eukaryota; Metazoa; Chordata; Amphibia; Anura; Pelobatidae.